CAACCCUCAGGCCCUGCCUGGUGUUGGAGGACUGCGCACGCAGCCUCCCAAAGCAAGCGGCGGCGGCGCCCCGAGACCGAACGCAGUAGUUACUUCUCGUUCUGGGACUGGGUCGUUGUCCUGCCGGAAAACCCCCAUCUUUUUAAU
RNAcentral lists this unclassified non-coding RNA (147 nucleotides) under Chaetosphaeria vermicularioides. RNAcentral describes it as "partial internal transcribed spacer 2". Lineage: Eukaryota; Fungi; Ascomycota; Sordariomycetes; Chaetosphaeriales; Chaetosphaeriaceae. The record is from RNAcentral. RNAcentral also lists the same sequence under 2 other names.